RNAcentral lists this long non-coding RNA (1551 nucleotides) under Sorghum bicolor (sorghum). Its description in RNAcentral is "long non-coding RNA (SBIC_LNC005945)". Lineage: Eukaryota; Viridiplantae; Streptophyta; Magnoliopsida; Poales; Poaceae. The record is from RNAcentral.
UCUGUUGUCCGGCGGCAUGGCGGCCAACGAGGUCGUGCCGCCAUCGGCCACCGCCUGCAAUCCCCAAGGUCCCACCGCCACACCGCCCACACGCCUCGUGCAAUGUUGAGUAGACAUCACGCUGUUAGCCACUGUGCCAUCGCCCUUCGCCCGCGACCUCGUUCCCAUCCUCUGAUCGUCGGGUGGGCGGCAAUCACCACCAAGUGAGUUCUGCAGUAGCUCCUCCCUCUCCAACCACCAACACCAUCCGCGCGCCGUGACCUGGGACCUCGAGUUCAUUUCCCUCGCGCCUUCGUCGACGCCCUCGUGCUGCCCGACACAACGCCGGUCCUGGGCAAUGGGCAUUGAUCCUUUGGGAGCGGAUCGAACAAGGCGCUGCCGUCCCGGAAGCAGCGCGCUCAGGCUGUUCGAUGAAAUGCCACCGUUUGAAUUGGAUUCCGUCACCCAAGUGGCUUCAUUGGACGACAAGGGCGGCCGUCCUGAGGUUCGUGCGGGGCUGGCGUGUUGAAAUCGAACAGGCCGAGGGACACUCCAAGCUUCCUGGUAUGCUGCAGGUGGAUACUGUGCGCUGCAAUGGAUUAGACAUCUUAUGCAUAGUUGCAUGCUUUGGGUUGUUGGAAUGCAUAGUCAUGUUAGCUUGUGAUCCUAAUCCUACACUGUUCUACACUAUGUUUUUUUAAAGAAACUGUUCUACACUCUGUUCAGCCAGUUUUUUUUUCUCGAAUACGCAAAAGUUUUUCAUAUCUUUGUAUUUAAGAAGAAGAUGUUUUACAACGCACACGGGCGCGCUACGGAUAAUAAAGUAUACAAAAGGUGCAGCCUUCCUAGCCUGAUUACACAUGGCGAUUACUCGCGGACUAACUCUCCUAGGUGGCGCGCUCCCGCCUCUAUCCAAAAGUCGGCGAUUUGCUUGAUCGUGGCGAGGAGUUACGCACUGGUGGCCACUUCGUUUCGGAAAUAGUCUUGGGUUCAGCCGUUUGAUCCCAAUUGACGAUCAGACAUCUUAUAAUGCUCUCAUUCUGAACCACAAAUUGUUUGCUUUUAGUCAUAUCCUACUCUUAAGCUCCAGUGCUUUGUGAAAUCUGUGAAUCAGAACCCAAAAACCUUUUUUUUUUGUGAUUACCCAAGAUCUGAGUAACAGCAGACAGCACUAGGAGCAUUACUGUCAGUACUUGGGUUAGUAAGGUACUCAAUGAGCUUGACAUUUUUUUUGUUUACUUCUUUCUUCACAAUGCUUGAGAAAACUAAACAGCAUACAUGUUACAUAUCACCUCAUGAUAAAGAAGGGAAUGGCGUAUGGUCCAGAUGGAUUCUUUACUCAAAGAAGUACACAGGUCUCAGUAUGUGCAAAAUUGUACAGGACACUAUAACACUAGUAGAACUCAAAAGUAGUACCUCUUGUUAAAGAUACAUGUACUCUAUGCAUGAAUUUACAAUAUUCUCACGUAUAACUGGCUAACUGUAUUGUCUUGACUGACUUUUGUGUCUGCAGGCCAACAUUGAUGCUUUCCAGGCGUGUAACUACUUCCAUGAUAUGUGGCCUCAUGCUAG